GGUCACAUCUCCCAGGGAGUACACACCUCUGGCACUUCCAGGGAUUCCCAGGCCCUGGGAUACUGUGAUGGGACUUGGAACUCAAUCUCUUUCUUCCCAUCCUCACCUUUGGUUAUCUGUGUUCUGUCUUCACCAGAUUUAGGAGGCCUUGUCUUCUCUUUGCUCAUUUCAUUUCAGUCAGGCUUUUCUAUUCCAACUCUCUGAUCACAGGACAGAUCAGGUUAGACCACAGAAAAGAGAAAGACCAAGCAAACAUCACUGAUCUGUGCAGAAGCUGCUGGGAAGGGAUUCGAUUCUCAUUGGUUUAGGGUUUUAAGCCCACUGCUCACCGGCAGGCAGGUUCCCUCCAGAGUCUGGCUUCUGUCUGGUACCUUGUACUACAAAGAACUCAGUGACCAGCCCACCUUCACAGUCACACCUCCCUUAGAGCUAUCUUUGCAGAGGCUGUUUCUCAGACUUCCAUGUCCCACUGAAAUCCCAUUUCUCUUUCCUUACAAACAUUAUGCUCAUUCUCAGGGCCCUGAGACCUCAACUGCAGGUGAGUCUUGUCCUCUUCUCUCCUUGGCGGGGGGAGCUUUGGAGUGGACCUCAUGUCUUUGGACAGCUAUCCUGGGCCUUCUUCCACCUUGGUGCUCUAGGGCUGGAUCUCUCCAUGUAAUAGAGGGGGCGUGGAAGGGGCACAAGGCUAAAAGGAUGGAUCUUCCAGGAGAGGUGGGUUUAAGAAGCCUGAAUGAAGUUCUUCCCUGAAGGGUGCAUAUUUUCAGUCCAGACAUCCUGCUUCUCUCAGCCUAAGAGGCCUAGCACGUCUUCAGAUGCUUCUCCUUUGACCUUCAGGCCAUGCCUGGACCCUCUGCAGCCCGGUCUCCCACAUGUGUAGCAGCACCAGUAGGUGUGGCAGUCACUUCAGCCCUUGUCUCCUCCUCCAGAUGCUCCUGGAGGUGCCUGGCUCUUCUUGCCAGGACACCAGGAUGCUGACCAGGGACUCAGUGUUGGUUAAAGGAUGUCGACCAGUGACCACGUGUCCUCAUUUCCUUUGAAGGAUUUCGCUCCUUGCCCGGGCAGAAGACAGCCAAGGUCAGCCUGAGCCUAAACACCUAGUGACCUGUGACACUGCAGCUAGUGAUAGAUGUAGAUUUCCACGCUCAGGUAUCCGCAGGUGGCGGAUUGAGAGUGGUCGGAGGAGAAGUGUAACUAGAGAUCACACACUCACGAGGGCACGGGUCAAAGGUCUCGGAAAAUAGCUGAGGUCGUGGAGCCCUAGCGGAGCCAGUCUAGGGCACAGGCCUCCGUCCUGUGCUUGGCAAAUAGGUGGCACCAUCUGCAGAGUAUGCCGCCAUCCGCAGACUCUGGACUGCUGGGGCCCUGGACGCCCGGAUUUCGGCCUUGUCUUUGGAGAAGUGACGCGCAUGCAGUGUGCCACCGGGGGCUGUGGCCCAGCAGAAGCAAAAUCUUGAAAAUGCGGGCUUCAUUUGACUUUGCCUGUGUUCUCCUUUGGCUGAGUGCCAUCCUGUGUUUCCUAGCAGGAGAAGCAUUCCUGGAGAGAGGCGGAUUCCAUGUGUGCCGGCAAAGUGUGUGCUGAGAUGAUGAGUCGCUGGAGACCAGGGUGGACUCUUCAGACCCAGGAUAGGCCUCUGGCAGCAGGAGAAGCAUUCCUGGAGAGAGGCGGAUUCCAUGUGUGCCGGCAAAGUGUGUGCUGAGAUGAUGAGUCGCUGGAGACCAGGGUGGACUCUUCAGACCCAGGAUAGGCCUCUGGCAGGUAUGUGUCAAUGUUUUCUGCCCAUGGCACUCAGCCGGGUAUUUGAAUACAAUGUUAUCAGCGGAAUUAGUAGUCUCCGGAGAGGCUGCCCCGUGUCAACAAGCUUCACCCGGCCAGGGUUCACCCGUGAUGUAGCUCACCAAUCAAUCACUACUCCCUAGUCCUUCCAGAUAGACUACCAGAUCUUCUCUGCCCUUGGGCAACCAGUACAGCCAGAGGCCUUCCCCCUUUGCUCUUUCGUCUCUAGACACUCUGUCAGGCACUCCAAGCUGUGAAGUGCCUGGGGGGGAGAAGGAAGAGAUUUCAGAGAAUGAACACAUACGGAGAGAGAGAGAGAGACAGAGAGAGAGGCAGGAGAUGCUGAGUGGGGAUGUCUUGCGUACUGAUAUCCUGAGGAAAGUGGGAAAAUUGGACCCUGGCCUGCUGUGCCAAUGCCCUGAAGCAGUCCGCACCAGGGGCUCCCUUGUGCCUGCGUAGCCUUUCCCAGGGUGUGCUCAAAUCCUGUGGCCACUAGGUGUCCUGGGUCACAAUGGAGGGCCCUGUGUCAUCUGCCUGGCGGGCUGGAUCUCUGCCAUUGGCUGAGUCUUGUCACCAGGCCCAUCAUAAGCUGCGCCUACUCUUCCGGUGGGGAGACUGUCUCCAUGGUGAUGGCAAAGAAGCCUUAGUCCCGCCCACCCGGCCUUCACUUCACCUACCCGGCCUGCUGACCCUCACUCAGACCUCUGUGUUGAUCAAAAUGAAUGUCCGCCAGUGGCCAGGUGUCAGCAUCUGGGAUAAAGGAUUCGGGACCUUGCCUGAGGCAGAAGGCAGCCUAGGUCUGCGGGUCCCUGGAAGUCUGGUGAGUUGUGACGCUGCUGCCAGUGACAAAUGGUGACUCCCACACUCACAUAUCCCCUGGUGGCAGAAUGAUAGCGAUGGGUGGAGAAACAUGGCUCCUGAGCACACGUUGAAUGGGGCACCGGCCAAAGGCCAGGGCCAGGAGUGGACGUCGUGGAGCUGAAUGGCGAGCCAGUGAAGGGCCCAAGGAUUUCUCCUGUAUGUGGCAAACAGGUCAUCCGUGUCCCCACGUCCAUAAACCAUUGGAGUGCCGGGGCCCAGGCUGCCAGGAUUUCGGCCUUGCCUUCGGAGCCCGGCCACAUACGCAGCCUUGCACCGGAGGCGGGGACACGUAGACAGCAAAAAUUUGGAAAAUGGCAGUGUCUCCUUGAUUUCCCCGGCAUCGGCCUAUUUGAGCGGCAUGCUUUGUUUCCGAGUAGGAUAAGGCACUGACGGAGAAAGGCAGGAUUAUGUGUGCAGGAAAGGUGUGUGCUGAGAGGGUGACGACGUUGAGACCAGGUUGGGAUCUUUAGUCCCAGGAAAGGCCCCUGGCAGGUGUGGGUGAAUGUUCUCUGCCCAUCCGAGUUGGCGGGGGGAGGUUUUCAGCAAACAAAGCAGCAGCGGGAUUAUUCGUCGCCGGAGAGGUUGCAUCUGCCCACAAGCUCCACCUGGCCAGGGACCACCCCUACUGUAUUGCCCAUGUCAAUCAACAGAAGCUAAGACCUUCCAGAGAGACUACCUGCUAUUGUCUACCCACGGGGAAGCGGUCCAGCCAGAAGCCUCCCCCGUUUCAUCUCCAGGCUCUCUGUCAGGCCCCUCAUCCUUGUGAUGUGUCUCAGGGGUAGAAGGAAGAGAUUCCUCUGAAUGAACACAUCCAGAGAGGGGCCAUAGAUGCUGAGGAAGGGCACCUUGCCUACUGACAUCCUAGCGUAAGUGGUAAAGAGGUACCUGCCUGCUGUCCCAGUGUGUCGAACGUGUCCACAUCAGGGAUUGGCUACUGUGAAGUUAUUCCCUGGUGCCCUCGAUUUUGUGGCCAAAGACACAAGGGCCUGUUGUGUGUCCAUGGGUACCAUGGAGGGCUCUGCAGAACUGGCCGGUUAGGCUGGACUUCUCCUAUUGGCUCAGUGUUUGUGACCCGUCCCCGUCAGAAGUUCCGGCCAGCCUUCCGGUGGCUGUCUCCAUGGUGAUUGGGGAAGAAGCCUUAGGCCCCGCACUCAGCCUUCACCUGGCCUACGUGGCCUCUUUACCCUCAUCUGGACCGCCGUGUGGAUGAAAGAAAGGAUGUCGGCCAGUGAGCACGUGUCCUCAUUUCCUUUGAAGGAUUUCGCUCCUUGCCCGGGCAGAAGACAGCCAAGGUCAGCCUGAGCCUAAACACCUAGUGACCUGUGACACUGCAGCUAGUGAUAGAUGUAGAUUUCCACGCUCAGGUAUCCGCAGGUGGCGGAUUGAGAGUGGUCGGAGGAGAAGUGUAACUAGAGAUCACACACUCACGAGGGCACGGGUCAAAGGUCUUGGAAAAUAGCUGAGGUCGUGGAGCCCUAGCGGAGCCAGUCUAGGGCACAGGCCUCCGUCCUGUGCUUGGCAAAUAGGUGGCACCAUCUGCAGAGUAUGCCGCCAUCCGCAGACUCUGGACUGCUGGGGCCCUGGACGCCCGGAUUUCGGCCUUGUCUUUGGAGAAGUGACGCGCAUGCAGUGUGCCACCGGGGGCUGUGGCCCAGCAGAAGCAAAAUCUUGAAAAUGCGGGCUUCAUUUGACUUUGCCUGUGUUCUCCUUUGGCUGAGUGCCAUCCUGUGUUUCCUAGCAGGAGAAGCAUUCCUGGAGAGAGGCGGAUUCCAUGUGUGCCGGCAAAGUGUGUGCUGAGAUGAUGAGUCGCUGGAGACCAGGGUGGACUCUUCAGACCCAGGAUAGGCCUCUGGCAGCAGGAGAAGCAUUCCUGGAGAGAGGCGGAUUCCAUGUGUGCCGGCAAAGUGUGUGCUGAGAUGAUGAGUCGCUGGAGACCAGGGUGGACUCUUCAGACCCAGGAUAGGCCUCUGGCAGGUAUGUGUCAAUGUUUUCUGCCCAUGGCACUCAGCCGGGUAUUUGAAUACAAUGUUAUCAGCGGAAUUAGUAGUCUCCGGAGAGGCUGCCCCGUGUCAACAAGCUUCACCCGGCCAGGGUUCACCCGUGAUGUAGCUCACCAAUCAAUCACUACUCCCUAGUCCUUCCAGAUAGACUACCAGAUCUUCUCUGCCCUUGGGCAACCAGUACAGCCAGAGGCCUUCCCCCUUUGCUCUUUCGUCUCUAGACACUCUGUCAGGCACUCCAAGCUGUGAAGCGCCUGGGGGGGAGAAGGAAGAGAUUUCAGAGAAUGAACACAUACGGAGAGAGAGAGAGAGACAGAGAGAGAGGCAGGAGAUGCUGAGUGGGGAUGUCUUGCGUACUGAUAUCCUGAGGAAAGUGGGAAAAUUGGACCCUGGCCUGCUGUGCCAAUGCCCUGAAGCAGUCCGCACCAGGGGCUCCCUUGUGCCUGCGUAGCCUUUCCCAGGGUGUGCUCAAAUCCUGUGGCCACUAGGUGUCCUGGGUCACAAUGGAGGGCCCUGUGUCAUCUGCCUGGCGGGCUGGAUCUCUGCCAUUGGCUGAGUCUUGUCACCAGGCCCAUCAUAAGCUGCGCCUACUCUUCCGGUGGGGAGACUGUCUCCAUGGUGAUGGCAAAGAAGCCUUAGUCCCGCCCACCUGGCCUUCACUUCACCUACCCGGCCUGCUGACCCUCACUCAGACCUCUGUGUUGAUCAAAAUGAAUGUCCGCCAGUGGCCAGGUGUCAGCAUCUGGGAUAAAGGAUUCGGGACCUUGCCUGAGGCAGAAGGCAGCCUAGGUCUGCGGGUCCCUGGAAGUCUAGUGAGUUGUGACGCUGCUGCCAGUGACAAAUGGUGACUCCCACACUCACAUAUCCCCUGGUGGCAGAAUGAUAGCGAUGGGUGGAGAAACAUGGCUCCUGAGCACACGUUGAAUGGGGCACCGGCCAAAGGCCAGGGCCAGGAGUGGACGUUGUGGAGCUGAAUGUCGAGCCAGUGAAGGGCCCAAGGAUUUCUCCUGUAUGUGGCAAACAGGUCAUCCGUGUCGCCACGUCCAUAAACCAUUGGAGUGCCGGGGCCCAGGCUGCCAGG
This is a long non-coding RNA of Loxodonta africana (African savanna elephant), 5716 nucleotides long. RefSeq lists it as uncharacterized. Lineage: Eukaryota; Metazoa; Chordata; Mammalia; Proboscidea; Elephantidae. The record is from RefSeq and is a predicted model, not a curated record. The transcript is spliced from 3 exons.